AGAGAGGCCUGAAAAAAGCUGCGCACCUUUUGGACACAAACCCCCCCUCUCGAUCAUAUUCUCCGUCGAGCCCUAGCAGCCCACCAUGGCUGCUUCUUCUUCUUCAUGAAGCUCGAAGAUACGCCUGGAUAGGGAGAGGAAGCUGCGCUUCAUGUCUUCUUCAAAAAUGAAGCAGCAGCCAUGAGAGAACACAACAGUCGCUGAACAUCAUAAAACAGAAACCCUCACGUCUCUUCUCCUUCCUCAGCAAUCGCUGAACACCAUAACACACAGACACGAGAGACCUAGGAGCCAAACAACGCCAUCAACAAACCCAACCAUUCCCCCUCCUCACCAAAUACACGCCAGGAAAUUGAGCACCGCAGAUUCCUCUUAAAACUGAGGACGAAAUAAAGAAGCAAGUGAUGUAAUCCUUUUGCGAACGAACAAUAGAAGCUUUGGACGGAAAUUAGUUCAUUUUUCUUUCUCUGAGUUCCGAUUCUGAUCUGAAACACAGAGUUUGGUUGAGGUCACAUUUGGAUUUCAAGGUAUCCGGUGCCGAUUCGAGGUUCCAGCGAGGUCGUUUUUAGUUGUGUCCCGGUCGUUGUUCAACUGUUUUGGUCGUCAUCUCGAUCCUGUGCUUGAUUCGUUAAUGCAAAGCUGUUAUUUCUCGGCCAUUAUUCGAUAUGCCUUACAUUUCAAUUUAUGCAAUGUUAGGUUUCACCUCAUUCUAAAUGGUGUCGUUAUAGAAAUGCAUUAGUGAUGUUGGAAGCUCUUUGGUUGAAAUAUCCUCUUUCUCUGUUUCGGUUAGGCGGAUAUUGUGACAUUAUUCAUUCUUUUGCUUCACUGAAUUAUCUUUGCUUUCUUUUUCGACAACUCGUUCUCCUGGCUAAGAAUGAUGUUUCAGUUGAUUAUUUAAAUGUCGAACCUUGUCGAAUCCGUUCACCACCAUUGGGGUAAGGUUUCAGUUAUUCAAUAUUAUUACUUGUUGGUUUGGUACAACGUUUAAUGGUGCAUCAGUUGGCUUAGAAGGAGGUAAUGCUGUUGAAAGUGUUUCCUAUUAAUUUAUUGGACUAGCCAUUGGUCUUGAAAAUUGAUUUAAGCUGUAGGUUAAUUUUGGAGUA
RNAcentral lists this long non-coding RNA (1103 nucleotides) under Nicotiana benthamiana. RNAcentral describes it as "long non-coding RNA (NBEN_LNC026391)". Lineage: Eukaryota; Viridiplantae; Streptophyta; Magnoliopsida; Solanales; Solanaceae. The record is from RNAcentral.